RNAcentral lists this unclassified non-coding RNA (340 nucleotides) under soil metagenome. Its description in RNAcentral is "partial contains 5.8S ribosomal RNA, internal transcribed spacer 2, and large subunit ribosomal RNA". The stretch from base 1 to 120 matches the Rfam family "5.8S ribosomal RNA", at positions 35 to 154 of the family's 154-position model. The record is from RNAcentral.
GAUGAAGAACGUAGUGAAAUGCGAUAAGUAGUGUGAAUUGCAGAAUUCAGUGAAUCAUCGAAUCUUUGAACGCACAUUGCGCCCUUUGGUAUUCCAAAGGGCAUGCCUGUUCGAGCGUCAUUUGUACCCUCAAGCUUUGCUUGGUGUUGGCGUCUUGUCUCUAGCUUUGCUGGAGACUCGCCUUAAAGUAAUUGGCAGCCGGCCUACUGGUUUCGGAGCGCAGCACAAGUCGCACUCUCUAUCAGCAAAGGUCUAGCAUCCAUUAAGCCUUUUUUUCAACUUUUGACCUCGGAUCAGGUAGGGAUACCCGCUGAACUUAAGCAUAUCAAUAAGCGGAGGA